RNAcentral lists this ribosomal RNA (468 nucleotides) under uncultured bacterium. RNAcentral describes it as "partial 16S ribosomal RNA". It matches the Rfam family "Bacterial small subunit ribosomal RNA", at positions 28 to 507 of the family's 1533-position model. The record is from RNAcentral.
GACGAACGCUGGCGGCGUGCUUAACACAUGCAAGUCGAACGGAGAGGCCCUGCUUUUGUGGGGUGCUCGAGUGGCGAACGGGUGAGUAACACGUGAGUAACCUGCUCUUGACUUUGGUAUAACUUCAGGAAACUGGGUCUAAUACCGGAUAGGAGCUGCUGCUGCAUGGUGGGGGUUGGAAAGUUUCGGCGGUUGGGGAUGGACUCGCGGCUUAUCAGCGUGUUGGUGGGGUAGUGGCUUACCAAGGCUUUGACGGGUAGCCGGCCUGAGAGGGUGACCGGCCACAUUGGGACUGAGAUACGGCCCAGACUCCUACGGGAGGCAGCAGUGGGGAAUAUUGCACAAUGGGCGGAAGCCUGAUGCAGCAACGCCGCGUGAGGGAUGACGGCCUUCGGGUUGUAAACCGCUUUCGCCUGUGACGAAGCGUGAGUGACGGUAAUGGGUAAAGAAGCACCGGCUAACUACGUG